AUUGAACGCUGGCGGCAGGCCUAACACAUGCAAGUCGAGCGGAUGAAGGGAGCUUGCCCUUGGAUUCAGCGGCGGACGGGUGAGUAAUGCCUAGGAAUCUGCCUGGUAGUGGGGGAUAACGUCGGGAAACGGGCGCUAAUACCGCAUACGUUCUGAGGGAGAAAGUGGGGGAUCUUCGGACCUCGCGCUAUCAGAUGAGCCUAGGUCGGAUUAGCUAGUUGGGGGGGUAAGGCCUUCCAAGGCGACGAUCCGGAACUGGCCUGAGAGGAUGAUCAGUCACACUGGAACUGAGACACGGUCCAGACUCAUACGGGAGGCAGCAGUAGGGAAUAUUGGACAAUGGGCGAAAGCCUGAUCCAGCCAUGCCGCGUGUGUGAAGAAGGUCUUCGGAUUGUAAAGCACUUUAAGUUGGGAGGAAGGGCAGUAAGUUAAUACCUUGCUGUUUUGACGUUACCAACAGAAUAAGCACCGGCUAACUUCGUG
Molecule: ribosomal RNA, 483 nt
Filed under: uncultured bacterium
Lineage: Bacteria
Description: partial 16S ribosomal RNA
Rfam family: Bacterial small subunit ribosomal RNA
Source: RNAcentral